This 251-nucleotide ribosomal RNA is filed under the name uncultured Pseudomonas sp. Its description in RNAcentral is "partial 16S ribosomal RNA". It matches the Rfam family "Bacterial small subunit ribosomal RNA", at positions 100 to 355 of the family's 1533-position model. The record is from RNAcentral. Lineage: Bacteria; Pseudomonadati; Pseudomonadota; Gammaproteobacteria; Pseudomonadales; Pseudomonadaceae.
CGGGGUGAGUAAUGCCUAGGAAUCUGCCUGGUAGUGGGGGACAACGUUUCGAAAGGAACGCUAAUACCGCANACGUCCUACGGGAGAAAGCAGGGGACCUUCGGGCCUUGCGCUAUCAGAUGAGCCUAGGUCGGAUUAGCUAGCUGGUGAGGUAAUGGCUCACCAAGGCGACGAUCCGUAACUGGUCUGAGAGGAUGAUCAGUCACGCUGGAACUGAGACACGGUCCAGACUCCUACGGGAGGCAGCAGUA